RNAcentral lists this transfer RNA (62 nucleotides) under Biomphalaria choanomphala. RNAcentral describes it as "tRNA-Asp". The record is from RNAcentral. Lineage: Eukaryota; Metazoa; Mollusca; Gastropoda; Planorbidae.
UAUUAUUUAGUUUAUUAAAAUAUUGACUUGUCAAGUCAAAGAUACUACACUGGUAAUAAUAU